Ictidomys tridecemlineatus (thirteen-lined ground squirrel) is the source of this 72-nucleotide non-coding RNA. Lineage: Eukaryota; Metazoa; Chordata; Mammalia; Rodentia; Sciuridae. The record is from Rfam.
GGGGUUGUGACUCAGCGGUAGAGCGCUCACCUCAAAUGUGUGAGAGCCUGGGUUCAAUCUUCAGCACCACUU